GAUGAACGCUAGCGGCAGGCCUAAUACAUGCAAGUCGAACGGGAUUGAGGAGCUUGCUCCUCAUGAGAGUGGCGCACGGGUGCGUAACACGUAUGUAACCUACCUUAAUCAGGGGAAUAGCCUCUCGAAAGAGAGAUUAACACACCAUAAAAUCACACUAUGGCAUCAUAGAAUGAUCAAAUAUUUAUAGGAUUAAGAUGGGCAUGCGGAACAUUAGCUAGUUGGUAAGGUAACGGCUUACCAAGGCUACGAUGUUUAGGGGAUCUGAGAGGAUGGCCCCCCACACUGGUACUGAGACACGGACCAGACUCCUACGGGAGGAAGCAGUAAGGAAUAUUGGUCAAUGGGCGGAAGCCUGAACCAGCCAUGCCGCGUGCAGGAAGACGGCCCUACGGGUUGUAAACUGCUUUUGUACCGGAAUAAACCUUUCUACGUGUAGGAAGCUGAAUGUACGGUAAGAAUAAGGAUCGGCUAACUCCGUGCCAGCAGCCGCAGUAA
Molecule: ribosomal RNA, 498 nt
Filed under: uncultured bacterium
Lineage: Bacteria
Description: partial 16S ribosomal RNA
Rfam family: Bacterial small subunit ribosomal RNA
Source: RNAcentral